This 1132-nucleotide long non-coding RNA is filed under the name Homo sapiens (human). Its description in RNAcentral is "non-protein coding lnc-TTF2-4:1". The record is from RNAcentral. Lineage: Eukaryota; Metazoa; Chordata; Mammalia; Primates; Hominidae.
CGACAGAUAUGCAGCUACACAAUGUUUUUACUAUCUUGAGUUCUUUUUACCCAGAUUCCAUAGCUAAAUCCAGAUGUAUUAAUAGGUAGAGACUACUUCAGAAAGGAUGAGACUAUUUUCUUGCUUAAUUAUCCACACAGUAAUUCAGAAAUGUAUAUUGAACACUUUUUAUAUGCCAGGCACUGCUGGGCACUGGAAAUAUAAAAGUAAGCAAAAAUGAAAAACUAUCCUGUCCUCCUGAGGCUUAGCAUCUAAGGGAGACAGGCAUUAGUCAACCCCGUGUGGCUGUGAAUCAGCCAUGAUGCUGAGUGCUACAAGAGAGGACUGUGCGGCUGGGAGGGCUUAUAACAGGAUUUGACCUAGUUAGGGAAGAUCUGAGGAAGUGAUGAAAGAAUGGAAAUCAAUAUGUAAGAGCUCACAAGUCAGAGUGAGAUGUUUCUUCCUAUACUGCCUGCUUCUAAUGAGCAUCCACUUCAUUGAACCACCUCUUCAUUGAGCCAAACCUACCAUACAGGGAUACAUUCUCUGGAGGAAAGUUGAGCAACUAUUGCAUUUGGGACAUUAGAGUAUGGGUGGGCUGACAGGUAUGUGUAUGUUUAUUAUCCAAGACAGCCAAGGUGUUUAUCCUGUUACAACAUCCCAGAGGACAGAGGCUCUUAUUUGUGACUCUUUUUUCUUACCUGUAACACCAGAGGCAUAACGUACAUCAUAAUGCUGCAUCUUGUUGACGCUUCAAUGCUCACAAUUCAAAGGUGAUUUCUGAAGCACUUUGUUACACUGGGGACAGCUCCUAAAUCCUCCCACUCUUUUUUUGCCUCACCUUGGAGUCUUGGGCUCUGUUGAUCACUGACUCUGCCAGGUCUUUCAGCAGGCAAGACAGCUCAGUUAAAUUGAGUUUGGACUCCACUGUAGUGCAUGCAUGAGACAGCACCCCCAAUCCCCAACACCCACACACAAACUUUAAAUAUUUGUAACAGAAUUGUUACCAUUAAUAUUGCUUAAAGGCUAACACAUUAGCCAGAACCUAGAUGUCUUCUGGAAAUUUUUUAUUGCAAUGUUACUUCAUCUACAUAAAGUUGUCCAAUCACUGAAACCUCCAACUGAAAUAAAUGGUAAGCUUUUUGUUCUCAAU